UUGCUUUUGAAGAUCAGCGGCGGACGGGUGAGUAACACGUGGGCAACCUGCCUGUAAGACUGGGAUAACUUCGGGAAACCGGAGCUAAUACCGGAUAAUCCUUUCCCUCUCAUGAGGGAAAGCUGAAAGACGGUUUCGGCUGUCACUUACAGAUGGGCCCGCGGCGCAUUAGCUAGUUGGUGAGGUAACGGCUCACCAAGGCGACGAUGCGUAGCCGACCUGAGAGGGUGAUCGGCCACACUGGGACUGAGACACGGCCCAGACUCCUACGGGAGGCAGCAGUAGGGAAUCUUCCGCAAUGGACGAAAGUCUGACGGAGCAACGCCGCGUGAGCGAUGAAGGCCUUCGGGUCGUAAAGCUCUGUUGUCAGGGAAGAACAAGUACCGGAGUAACUGCCGGUACCUUGACGGUACCUGACCAGAAAGCCACGGCUAACUACGUGCCAGCAGCCGCGGUAAUACGUAGGUGGCAAGCGUUGUCCGGAAUUAUUGGGCGUAAAGCGCGCGCAGGCGGUUCCUUAAGUCUGAUGUGAAAGCCCCCGGCUCAACCGGGGAGGGUCAUUGGAAACUGGGGAACUUGAGUGCAGAAGAGGAGAGCGGAAUUCCACGUGUAGCGGUGAAAUGCGUAGAGAUGUGGAGGAACACCAGUGGCGAAGGCGGCUCUCUGGUCUGUAACUGACGCUGAGGCGCGAAAGCGUGGGGAGCGAACAGGAUUAGAUACCCUGGUAGUCCACGCCGUAAACGAUGAGUGCUAAGUGUUAGAGGGUUUCCGCCCUUUAGUGCUGCAGCAAACGCAUUAAGCACUCCGCCUGGGGAGUACGGCCGCAAGGCUGAAACUCAAAGGAAUUGACGGGGGCCCGCACAAGCGGUGGAGCAUGUGGUUUAAUUCGAA
Molecule: ribosomal RNA, 891 nt
Filed under: Mesobacillus subterraneus
Lineage: Bacteria; Bacillati; Bacillota; Bacilli; Caryophanales; Bacillaceae
Description: bacterial SSU rRNA
Rfam family: Bacterial small subunit ribosomal RNA
Source: RNAcentral